AGCUUCCAGAUAAUUUUACAAUGUAAUGAGUCAAAAGCACUAACUUCAUUUUGCCGCUGUCUUUUUCUGUGUAAAAAGAUGGAAUUUGUUUUUUUCUGGAGAGAGAGUUACCAUACGAUGGUUUGCUUACAUUUUAUUUUCAUGUGAACAUAAACAUCUCCCAACCUCAGAAUUUCACAUAGAUGUCAGACGAAGGAAGGCUCUGCUAUGAAAACUAAUGUUUGCCGUCAAAUAAACUACCAGAGCCAUUGGCCACUGUGAAUGAUGAUGGGUUUUCUGGGACUUACACCAUUUUAGUGCCCACUGAGGAUAAAUUUUGGGCACUUCCAGUACAUGGAUAAACUGGGGAUAUACAGUUGUCCUGAGCACUGAAUCGACUAUGGUGUUUUUCCAGGGAGUUUGUUCAAAAUGAGUCUUCAAGGCUUCAAACCAUUGGGCCCAGAUCUCAUAUGCUUAUGAGACCUCAUGUGUUUUAUAAGAAGAUAUAACCAAACUGCAUGUUGUCUUUUUUCCUCCCCUGCUUCCUUUUAAAUCUCUUUUGCGUUACUUCUUUUAGUUUGUUCCCUUGCUUUAAAAUUUAUAUGAACCAUCGUCUUAGAAUAUUAUUUUAAAUUUCAAAGGAGGCCUUGGAUUUGAAAACAGUUUUUUAAUUUCCCCCACAUUUGGUCUGGGUGGUGAUUGUACUAAAUCAGCCUUUUACGGAAACACUAUCAUUAAAAACUUCUCAUGGUCUCUAGGGACAGGAUUUGGAAGCACAACACAAGCCUUUCUGAUUAGGGCUCUGGGAACUCCCACUUUGUUUGCAAUGGUUUUGUUUUGUUUUUGAUUUAUAAUAACUUCCAGCGAAUGGUCCUGUUUUAGAGCUAUUUAAAGAAAUUCUAAACUAAAAUUGUAAAGGAACUGGAUGAAAAACAUUAACAAAAAACAUUAACACAAUAAAUAAAUUUGUGUCCCCACCCCCAGCAGUGCACAAUCCUUCAAACCUUCCUCCUUAUUUUUACCCUUUUCUUUGAUUUGACUUGCUGCCGCCCUUAGCCUCCCUCCUCACCCUCAGGGGGCCUGGCCAUUUCUCUGGGCUUUAGAGGCUUGUAGCUGCUUCCUUUCAUUCUUUCUCCUGUAAUCCUCCAAGCUCUCGGUUCUGUUUCACCCUCCCACUAACUUUUCUUGUUUUCCAUUGCCUGAUCUUCCUGCGGGCCGCUCCACCAUCUUUCUCUUCAUUUCCUUUACCCUGAAGCUCAGAGGCCUCUUUUCCUUGCCUUCCAGUUCAUUCUGCUACUAAUCAGAAGCCACCUCUUAAUCUUGGAGGCUUUCUUUUUGUUUUUCUUUUUUUUUCAGAAAUCAAUUCAAAUCUGGACUGAUGGUUUUGUGGAACUCUCAGAGCAGGAGUUUCCUGACCUAGCGAAGCAAACAACAGAGCAUAGCAUCCUAGGUUUCAGAAGGAAUUGUUCUGGCUUAAGGAGGAUAACUAAACAUGCCUCUCCCCACUACAAGCUAUGAAAAAUAGAUAGGGGAGGCAGAUGGGAGCUCAAAAUAUGAGCUAUUGAUAAAUAUUGAUACUUAUUGAUAAAGCUGGACUAGAGACCCUGGCUUGACCCGUGGUCAGAACCAAGCUUCCACCUUAAACUGUCCCAUCUGGUCACUGGCAGAGCAGCCAGGCAACCAAAUAUUGAGAACCCUCCCCAGGUACCUCACAGCAUGGAGGAGGGACAAAUGUGAGGCUGCUGAGAGCUCUCGUGUUUCAACCUUGGCGAUGCCCCUCUCAUACUGUUCCCUCCAGGAACAUUAUGCAAAUGCAAGUACACAGCUAAUGCUGAUGCUCAGCCCCUAAUUUUAGCCAUUAGAUCAAAUCAUGUGUAAGAAUUAAUUUAAAUUAACCUAUCCCUUUACCUAAGCCAUCAAUACAAUUUUAUAAAAUUCUGACUGAACACUCGGUAACUUUAUGAGCACCAAGGAUGCAAAAGUGAAUUGGGCACAGACAACUUAGGCCAACAUGGUACAGAUUCAGGAAAGUUAUACAUAAUUGUAUGCAAAAAUAUUGUCUAGGAGUCCCGUAUGAAAAAUCCUCACGGAGAAAGCGAUCUUUGUUUGGUAAGUGCUUUUAUAAAUUCAUUUAGGCAGAAUAGACGGGUUUUGUAAAGCUUGAAACAUAUAGAAUUUGGAGGGCCCUUUCUGAUAGAAUAUAAAAUUAUGAAUUUAAAAUCAGGUUCAAAAGUUAAUGUCUAGGAUGAGAAUAGAAAUCACAAAAGAAUUCCUAAGGCCUUGGAGAUACAGGUCCCUUGCUUCUGAGAUCUUUUGAGGCAUUUUCUCAGAAAUGCUCCACAUUUGCCCCUUGGUUUCUUGCUCCACCUGGAACACUCUACAGCUCCCAGUGACUCCCAGAACUCAGAAGGAGUGUGCAAGUGGUGCCUGAAACUUAAGUGUCAAUGGCUUCAGGGUCAAUCUGCUAUAGGGUAAAUUUCCAGAGUUUGAGUGUGAUUGGACCAUAUCUUUGAAUAGUGGGGGGAUAACUUUGCAAAAAUGAGAGGGGCAUGGAAGAACUCUAUACCAUACAGUGUACCAUGAUGGCCUCCCAUACCCCCACCAAUCUUCAGGAAAAACUACCAACAUCACUUUAGGCCCCUUGUGUUUGUGUUUGUGUUUCUUAUGAAAAUGGGUGAAAAAUUACUUCGGCGUCUUGGUUGGUGUGGGAUCAAAACGGAGCCGAGAAGUGAAUAAACAUGUAAAUUAUCUACGUUGCAGUAUCUUCGAUGCCAUGAUAGAUUUUUAUUGGAACUAUGCUUAUAAUAUAUAACAGUAUAUACACCAAACCCUUACAAAAUAUAACACACACUCAUAUAUUGUAAGGAUAUUUACAUUUGCAUCUGGUACUAGAUUAAUUUAUGCCAUAUCUCAAACUGAAAAUAUCUAAAAUCAUUAAUUUUUUUCCUGAAGGUUUCUCAUGUAUUUCAGACCUCAGUUAAUGUCACUUACAUCCAUGCCAUCCCUCCAAACCAGAAUCCAAAGUCACCAAGUCUUGUCUGUUGCACUAACGAUGUAAGAUUUGUUCCCCUCUUCCCUGUCUUGACCAGUGGGUGCCCUUUUAAAGAGCCCUGCUGUCUCCUAAGAUGAUGAAGGCUGCCAUGGUAGACAGAAUAGUGCCCCGCCCCCACCAAAGAUGUCUACAUCCUAGUCCCUGGAACCUGUGAGUAUGUUACCUUACGUGGCAAAAGAGACUUUGCAGAUGUGUUUAAGGGGACAGACCUUGAGAUGGGGAGACUAUCUUGAUUUUCUGAGUCCAAUGUAAUCACAAGGGUCCUUAUAAGAGGGAGACAGCAGGCUCAGACUAAAAAGAGAAGGAAAAGUGACUCUGGAAACAGAGGGAGAGGGAGGGGGUGAGGGAGGAGAGAAAGGGAGAUUUUUGAAGAUGCUAGAUUGCUGGCUUUGAAAAUGGAGAAAGAGGCCACUCCUGCGAGCAAUGUAGAUAGCUUCCAAAAACUGAAAAAGGCGACAAAACAGAUUUUCCCCUGGAGCUGUCAGAAGCGACACAGCCCCAACACCACCUCGACUUUAGCCCAGGACUUGAGGCCUCCAGAGCUGUAAGAAUAAUGAGUUUGUAUUGUUUUAAGCCACUGUGUUUGUGGUCAUUUUGUACGGCAGUAAUGAGGAGCUAUUACAGUGUCGAUAAUUCAUUCUUUGCCACUGUGGUUGAAAUGGUCCCUUCAUCAGUCUAGAGUAUUAAAAAAGCUAACACAGUUAAAAAAAAAUUAACUGAAAGUUAAAGCCUUCACUUUCUUUCCUUUCAGGCUUUCUUCUUUUCUUUGUGUUGAUGCCGAAUUCUAGGAACCAACCUAGAACGAAGAGCAGAGAUUUCGUGAGACCGGUGUGCUGUGGUCCCAAGGCAGG
RNAcentral lists this long non-coding RNA (3882 nucleotides) under Equus caballus (horse). RNAcentral's name for it is "lncRNA (ENSECAG00000028354.3)". The record is from RNAcentral. Lineage: Eukaryota; Metazoa; Chordata; Mammalia; Perissodactyla; Equidae.